RNAcentral lists this long non-coding RNA (281 nucleotides) under Homo sapiens (human). RNAcentral describes it as "non-protein coding lnc-PC-2:2". The record is from RNAcentral. Lineage: Eukaryota; Metazoa; Chordata; Mammalia; Primates; Hominidae.
AGACGCGGAAGAGGACUUGGUGAGCGCGCGGCAGCUUUAUUAAACCACGGGAUAACGGCUGCCCGCAGCCUCCGGAUCGGUGGGCGCUUGCGGAAGGGGACCCGGCUCAGGGCCCAGGGCUGGGACUCAGCCACUCUGACAGGUUGGAGACCUCCUGCAGCCACAGCACGUCCUGCGGGAACAAGGGGGCCCGGGGUGAGGACCUCUCAGCAGCGGCCCGUGGCCUGCACCUCCUGCUGAGCCCUUCCCUGCGCGGCCCUCGCCCAGUUACCUCCAGGCGG